RNAcentral lists this transfer RNA (74 nucleotides) under Mucilaginibacter agri. It matches the Rfam family "tRNA". Rfam says of the family: Transfer RNA (tRNA) molecules are approximately 80 nucleotides in length. Their secondary structure includes four short double-helical elements and three loops (D, anti-codon, and T loops). Further hydrogen bonds mediate the characteristic L-shaped molecular structure. tRNAs have two regions of fundamental functional importance: the anti-codon, which is responsible for specific mRNA codon recognition, and the 3' end, to which the tRNAs corresponding amino acid is attached (by aminoacyl-tRNA synthetases). tRNAs cope with the degeneracy of the genetic code in two manners: having more than one tRNA (with a specific anti-codon) for a particular amino acid; and 'wobble' base-pairing, i.e. permitting non-standard base-pairing at the 3rd anti-codon position. Lineage: Bacteria; Pseudomonadati; Bacteroidota; Sphingobacteriia; Sphingobacteriales; Sphingobacteriaceae. The record is from Rfam by way of RNAcentral.
GGACCCGUAGCUUAAUUGGAUAGAGCAUCUGACUACGGAUCAGAAGGUUAGGGGUUCGACUCCCUUCGGGUCCA